GACGAACGCUGGCGGCGUGCCUAAUACAUGCAAGUAGAACGCUGAAGGAGGAGCUUGCUUCUCUGGAUGAGUUGCGAACGGGUGAGUAACGCGUAGGUAACCUGCCUGGUAGCGGGGGAUAACUAUUGGAAACGAUAGCUAAUACCGCAUAACAGUAGAUGUUGCAUGACAUUUGCUUAAAAGGUGCAAUUGCAUCACUACCAGAUGGACCUGCGUUGUAUUAGCUAGUUGGUGGGGUAACGGCUCACCAAGGCGACGAUACAUAGCCGACCUGAGAGGGUGAUCGGCCACACUGGGACUGAGACACGGCCCAGACUCCUACGGGAGGCAGCAGUAGGGAAUCUUCGGCAAUGGACGGAAGUCUGACCGAGCAACGCCGCGUGAGUGAAGAAGGUUUUCGGAUCGUAAAGCUCUGUUGUAAGAGAAGAACGAGUGUGAGAGUGGAAAGUUCACACUGUGACGGUAUCUUACCAGAAAGGGACGGCUAACUACGUGCCAGCAGCCGCGGUAAUACGUAGGUCCCGAGCGUUGUCCGGAUUUAUUGGGCGUAAAGCGAGCGCAGGCGGUUAGAUAAGUCUGAAGUUAAAGGCUGUGGCUUAACCAUAGUACGCUUUGGAAACUGUUUAACUUGAGUGCAAGAGGGGGGAGUGGAAUUCCAUGUGUAGCGGUGAAAUGCGUAGAUAUAUGGAGGAACACCGGUGGCGAAAGCGGCUCUCUGGCUUGUAACUGACGCUGAGGCUCGAAAGCGUGGGGAGCAAACAGG
This 763-nucleotide ribosomal RNA is filed under the name uncultured Streptococcus sp. RNAcentral describes it as "bacterial SSU rRNA". It matches the Rfam family "Bacterial small subunit ribosomal RNA", at positions 28 to 776 of the family's 1533-position model. Lineage: Bacteria; Bacillati; Bacillota; Bacilli; Lactobacillales; Streptococcaceae. The record is from RNAcentral.